RNAcentral lists this ribosomal RNA (534 nucleotides) under Triticum aestivum (bread wheat). RNAcentral describes it as "partial small subunit ribosomal RNA". Lineage: Eukaryota; Viridiplantae; Streptophyta; Magnoliopsida; Poales; Poaceae. The record is from RNAcentral.
AUGAAAAAGGCAGUGCCUAAGUGUUUCCCUAAUUGCACGCACAGGAACUGUUUGUUUCACAUUCUAAAAAAAGCGCAAAACAAAGCAAGAAGAACAUUUGCAAGGAAUCAGCAUUUGAACGCUCAAUUUCAUGACAUAAUCCUAAACUCACAAACAGUUGAGGAGUUUGAGCAGCUCUGGCCACAAAUGACAGAGGAGUACAAAGUUCAACAUAUCGAGUACUUCGGAAUUAUGUGGAAAAACAGAAAGAGAUUUGUACCUGCGUUCUUCAAGAAUGACUUUUUCCCAUUCAUCCAAUCAACAGCAAGAAGUGAAGGAACAAAUGUUGUAUUCAAAGCAAAUGUAGGGUCAAGUCACAGUGUGAUUGCUUUCAUGACAGAGUUUGACAGGAUAUCACAAAGUAUUGAAGAAAAAAGAAAAGAAAAUGAUUCAGUAACAAGGAGAACAUCUCCAACUAUGUGGAGUGACUGGGCAUUGGAAAAACAAGCUGCAGAACUAUAUAACAGAGGCAUAUUCUACAAAUUUCAGCAAUAG